RNAcentral lists this long non-coding RNA (494 nucleotides) under Gossypium barbadense (sea-island cotton). RNAcentral's name for it is "long non-coding RNA (GBAR_LNC018262)". The record is from RNAcentral. Lineage: Eukaryota; Viridiplantae; Streptophyta; Magnoliopsida; Malvales; Malvaceae.
GCACGUGAAAGCUUAAGAUUCAAAAGUUGAACCAACUUUAACCGGUUGACAUGCACGACAUAAGACAGCAACGUACGGUGUUUCUCUGUUUCUUUCUUUGUCUCCCACACUUUGUCUAAAAUCAGAUCAAUAAUGAUUGAGCAAAAGUAUCCAAUUGCAUUUCGUCAUCGUCGUUUUGGUUCAGAAUCUGCAGAUACUCUUCGUAAAGCUUCUCUAAUGAUGAGCUAUCAUCUUCACUUACCAACACAGUGGACUCGCACUCGAAUUGAAUAUCAAGGUCAUCGGCCAGAAACCCCCUCAUGUUUUCACCACCAUGGUCGGCGGCGUAGGCAUAGUCCGACGAAGGGUUUCCUCCUGCUUGGGUGUUCGCAUUGCAUUGGUGGUUGUCCAAUUCGAAGCUUUGGUUUCUUGGGAAAGAAGAUUUGGUAACCCUAAUGGGUUUCGGGAGAUGAAUUUUGGGUCUCUCGGAAAAUGUUUUGCUUGUGUCACUGAUG